RNAcentral lists this ribosomal RNA (487 nucleotides) under uncultured bacterium. RNAcentral's name for it is "bacterial SSU rRNA". It matches the Rfam family "Bacterial small subunit ribosomal RNA", at positions 28 to 524 of the family's 1533-position model. The record is from RNAcentral.
GACGAACGCUGGCGGCGUGCCUAACACAUGCAAGUCGAACGAGGUCCAUGCAGUGGCAACACUGCGGAAGACCUAGUGGCGAACGGGUGAGUAACACGUGAGGAACCUGCCCCGAAGACCGGGAUAACUCUCCGAAAGGAGCGCUAAUACCGGAUGCCCCCACCGAACCGCAUGGUUUGGUGAGGAAAUGGAUUCCGCUUCGGGAGGGCCUCGCGGCCUAUCAGCUAGUUGGUGGGGUAACGGCCCACCAAGGCAUCGACGGGUAGCUGGUCUGAGAGGACGAUCAGCCACACUGGGACUGAGACACGGCCCAGACUCCUACGGGAGGCAGCAGUGGGGAAUCUUGCGCAAUGGGCGAAAGCCUGACGCAGCAACGCCGCGUGAGUGAUGAAGGCCCUCGGGUCGUAAAGCUCUGUCCUGGGAGAAGAAUUUUGACGGUAUCCCAGAAGAAAGCACCGGCUAACUCCGUGCCAGCAGCCGCGGUAAU